UGGGGAAUCUUGCGCAAUGGGCGAAAGCCUGACGCAGCGACGCCGCGUGAGUGAUGAAGGCCUUCGGGUUGUAAAGCUCUGUGGAGAGGGACGAAUAAGGGUUGGCGAAUAACCAGCUCGAUGACGGUACCUCUUUAGCAAGCACCGGCUAACUCUGUGCCAGCAGCCGCGGUAAGACAGAGGGUGCAAACGUUGUUCGGAAUUACUGGGCGUAAAGCGCGUGUAGGCGGCUCGGCAAGUCGGGUGUGAAAGCCCUGGGCUCAACCCAGGAAGUGCACUCGAAACUGCCGGGCUUGAGUCCCGGAGAGGAAGGCGGAAUUCUCGGUGUAGAGGUGAAAUUCGUAGAUAUCGAGAGGAACACCGGUGGCGAAGGCGGCCUUCUGGACGGUGACUGACGCUGAGACGCGAAAGCGUGGGGAGCAAACAGG
This 428-nucleotide ribosomal RNA is filed under the name uncultured Chondromyces sp. RNAcentral's name for it is "bacterial SSU rRNA". It matches the Rfam family "Bacterial small subunit ribosomal RNA", at positions 355 to 776 of the family's 1533-position model. The record is from RNAcentral. Lineage: Bacteria; Pseudomonadati; Myxococcota; Polyangiales; Polyangiaceae.